This 620-nucleotide ribosomal RNA is filed under the name uncultured bacterium. Its description in RNAcentral is "bacterial SSU rRNA". It matches the Rfam family "Bacterial small subunit ribosomal RNA", at positions 61 to 687 of the family's 1533-position model. The record is from RNAcentral.
GUCGAGCGCUUCACUUCGGUUGAGGAGCGGCAGACGGGUGAGUAACGCGUACACAAUCUACCUUAUAGAGGAGAAUAGCCCUGGGAAACUGGGAUUAAUGCUCCAUAGUAUUACACUUUGGCAUCAAGGUGUAAUUAAAGCUCCGGCGCUAUAAGAUGAGUGUGCGUACUAUUAGCUAGUUGGUAAGGUAACGGCUUACCAAGGCUACGAUAGUUAGGGGGCGUGAGAGCGUGACCCCCCACACGGGUACUGAGACACGGACCCGACUCCUACGGGAGGCAGCAGUAAGGAAUAUUGGACAAUGGGCGCAAGCCUGAUCCAGCCAUCCCGCGUGGAGGAUGACUGCCCUAUGGGUUGUAAACUCCUUUUAUUUGAGAAGAAACGCCUGGAUUUAUCCGGGCCUGACGGUAUCUUAUGAAUAAGCACCGGCUAACUCCGUGCCAGCAGCCGCGGUAAUACGGAGGGUGCAAGCGUUAUCCGGAAUCACUGGGUUUAAAGGGUGCGUAGGUGGUUUAGUAAGUCAGAUGUGAAAGCCCGGCGCUCAACGUCGGAAUUGCAUUUGAUACUGCUGAACUUGAAUCAGGUUGAGGUGGGCGGAAUGUGGCAUGUAGCGGUGAAAU